Molecule: long non-coding RNA, 9028 nt
Filed under: Nicotiana benthamiana
Lineage: Eukaryota; Viridiplantae; Streptophyta; Magnoliopsida; Solanales; Solanaceae
Description: long non-coding RNA (NBEN_LNC018417)
Source: RNAcentral
AGAUUGAAGCAUUAAACAAGGAAGGAAAUAUUCAUUAAAAGAAGUCGUUGUCACACAAGGAGAAGAUCAGCAUCACAUCGUCAAAUCAGGAAGUCUCCCAUGAUUCUUGGGAAAUCAGAUACAUCUCCAGAUCUCAUGCAAAUCACUGAAGAUUCCCUAACGGCUAAUUUGAAUGAGCUACAAGAAUGGAAGGCCGCCAUCUCCGUCAAUCGCAUCUCCAGAAAAAAGGAAUGAGAUCGUCAUCAAAGCAACGAUCAGUGCUUUAUUCUUGGAAGGAAUGAACACCCUCCAAGUAUCAAAUCCCUUGGGUUGUCAAGUCUUCGCCAUAGUCUUGCUGUAUAAAUAUCACCGUGCCUUAUACCAUCCUUAUACUUUGAACACACCAAAACAGCCCUCUUCAUUUUACUGCAAAUAAGCAUAGUACUCUAGUUAGAUUCACUGUGUAACAAUCAGAAAUAGAAAGAAAGUUAGUAACUUGUGAGGCAUUGUAUCAACGAGUGAAGAACAACUGACCGACGAAUAUCACUUUUGUACUCGAGAAUAAAAUUAUUGUUCUAAAGAGAAAUCCCUUGCAACCCAAGGGAACUGGAUUAGGAUUCACAUUGAAUCCGAACCAGUAUAAAAAUUCUGGGUGUCUUUACAUUUAUGCAUUUACUUUCAGCAUCUUUAUAUUUAAUCAUUCUCAACUGGUACAGUAUACCAUUGAGUUAACUAAUAACGUUUUAUGUCAACUUAUAUGCGAAUAAUUUUAAAAUAGUGACAAUUCACCCCCCUGCUUUCAAUUGGUAUGAGAGCAAGGCUCAAAUUUUUUUGCUUUUUCUUAACUGCUUGUGAGAAAAAGAUCAAGGCCAAUCAAGUGAUAGUUGGAGCUCUAUUUCAAGAAGGGACUUCUCAAGUAAGACCACCUUACUUCAAUGGACAACAUUUCUCUCACUGGAAGAUCGCAUGGAGAUUUUCACCAAGGCGUACAAUAUAAUCAAGGUUUUGAGAGUCAUCAAGAAAGGGAACUAUCCACUACCUGCCAGUACACCUCCGCUCGCCGACCCCGAUGACAUCGAUUCAUACUUAAAAGAACAACUGGAAGAGGUUCAAACAAACCAUAAGGCAAGAAAUCUACUCCAUAAUGCAAUAAGUGGUGAAGAAUAUGAAAAGAUCUCCAGUUGUGAUACAGCAAAGGAAAUGUGGGACAAACUUGAAGUCACCUAUGAAGGUACCAGCAAAGUAAAGGAAACUCAUAUAAAUAUGCUAGUUCACGACUAUGAACUUUUCUCCAUGAAAGAAGGAGAAAGUCACCUAUGAAGUUACCAGCAAAGUAAAGGAAACCCAUAUAAACAUGCUAGUUCACGACAAUGAAAUGUUCACCAUGAAAGAGGGAGAAUCCAUUGAAGAAAUCUUUGCCAGGUUUAGCAAGAUAAUCAGUGAUUUAAAAGCUUUUGGGAAACCCUAUACCAGUGGAGAUAAAGUCAGGAAGAUUCUCAUAAGUCUACCUACCACAUGGCAGACCAAAGUCAUCACACUAGAAUCUCAAGAUCUGAAUACACUAUCCUAUGAUGAACUACGAGGGGAACUGAUUGCUUUUUAAAGAACUCAUCUGAAAAAGACAAAUCAAGAAGAGAAUCUACUACAAAGGAAACAAAAAAUGAAGUCGAUGAUCCUGAAGCUCUACAAUAAGAAAUUGUUAUACUAUCUAGGAAUAUGGAUGGAUUGAUGAGAAGAUAUAGAAAUACAAAGAAAGGAGGAUUUCCACCAAGAAGGUCCAGACAAUACAAUGAUCAAGACAAGAACGAUGGAAAAUGCUAUGAAUGUGGAAAAGUUGGGCACAUCCAAGCAGAGUGCCCAGAACUGAAAAGAAAAAUCCAUAGAGGAUUCAGCAAGAACAGAUCUUUCGGAAGCUGGAGUGACAAAGAUGAAUCAGACCGUGAGGAAAUUGCUAAUCUGUACUUGAUUCAGCAAGAACAGAUCUUUUGGAAGCUAGAUAGACGAAGAUAAAUCAGACUGUGAGGAAAUUGCUAAUAUGUGCUUCAUGACGAUUCUAUAAAAUGAGAUCAACGAAACUUCAGGGUGAUGGACUGAUGAAGAUGACUCAGAGGAUGAAACGUGCUUCAUGGCCAGAGGAGAAACCACAGAGGUAAGACCUUAUAACUGCGAAAGUUGCAAUGAAUUACAAGACAUCCUUGACUCCACAUUGUCUGAAUCUCUGAAAAUGAUGAAUGGGCUUAAAAGGCUCACAAAGGAAGACAAAGACUGGAAUUUCAAGUAUGAAGUAUGUGAAAUUGAAAAAGAAGUACUUCGGGAAGAGUUUGAGGAAUGCAAAUGCAGCUUAACAGCUUGCGCAAAUCCACCAGUCGACUUACAAGUCAACUGGAAAAGAACCAAUCAGAACUAGAUUGACAAGUCGAUCGAACCAGUCGACUUACAAGUCAACUGGAGAAGAGUCAGCAAACCGUAGAUCUGCUAACUCUACUUCUCAUGAAAGACCAGAAAAGGGACCUAGUGUCAAAUGUCAUUACUGUAAUAAAAGUGGGAACAAAUUCUCUAACUAUCACUUUCGUAAAUCUCAUAUGUCUGGGUGGGUCCAAAUGUCAUUACUGUAAUAAAGUGGGCACAAAUUCUCUAACUGUCACUUUCGUAAUCUCAUAUGUCUGGGUGGGUUUGGAAACCACAAAAUUCCGAAUCCAGCAACACUAACUCUCCAGGACACAAGAAAACUUGGGUACCUAAAAGAAAGUGAUUAUCCCGUUUUGCACGAAGACCACAGAAUAAAAUGCAAAGGAAAGUGGUAUCUAGAAAGUGCGUGUUCCAGUCAUAUGACAGGUGACAAAAAUCUGUUUAAGGAGGUCACAAAGAUUGAUGGAGGAAGUGUCAAGUUUGGAGACGGCUCAAAAGGCAAAAUUGUUGGGACAGGAACUGUUCCAUUCAACAACAACUAUGACAUUACUGAAGUCUACUUAGUAGAUGGAUUAAACUACAACCUUCUCAGUAUAAGCCAACUUUGUGACUCAUGAUAUGAGGUAAAAUUCAAGAAAUUUGGAUGUGCUAUUAAAGACGAAUCAGGUAAAUUAAUCCUUCCAGUAAAAAGGUAUGGAAACGUUUAUAUACUAGAUGGCUUUGAAAAAGUUGAUGGUCAUAUUUGCUUAAUCCUUCCAGGAAAAAGGUAUGGAAACGUUUAUAUACUAGAUGGAUUUGAAAAAGUUGAUGGUCAUAUUUGCUUAUCAUCCAUGUCUGAUGAUCCCUGUUUAUGGCACAGAAGAUUAGGGCACGCUAGCAUGCAUCUAAUCGAAAAAUUAUCUAAGCAUGACCUAGUCGUUGGCCUACCCAAGCUAAAUUUUCUAGAACUUAUAUUUGUGAUACAUGUCAAAUAGGUAACCAAACUAGAAACUCUUUUAAAAAUAAAGACGUUAUUUCUACUUCAAAACCUCUGCAAUUACUUCACAUGGAUUUAUUUGGACCAACUAGAACUGCUAGCUUAUGAGGUAAGAAAUAUGCUUUUGUUAUUGUUGAUGACUUUUCACAAUUCACUUGGGUGAUUUUUCUAACUCAUAAAGAUGAAGCUUGGCGAAAUUUUGAAAUCUUUUGUAAGAAAAUUGAACGAGAGAAGGGCUAUCAAAUCUCUAUAAUUCAAAGUGAUCAUGGAGGAGAAUUUGAAAGCAAGACAUUCGAAGACUUUUGCAAUAGUCAAGGCUAUACUCACAACUUCUCUGCUCCUCGAUCUCCUCAACAAAAUGGAGUAGUUGAAAGAAAGAAUAGAACCUUGUAAGACAUGGCCAGGACUAUGCUCCUGGAACAUUCAUUGCCAAAUCACUUCUGAGCGGAAGGAGUCAGUACCUCCUGCCACAUUCUAAAUCGUUGUCUUAUAAGACCUAUUCUUAAAAAGACUCCAUAUGAGCUCUGGAAAGGUACUAACAUCGGCUAUUUUCAUCCUUUUGGAAGCAAGUGCUUUGUUUAUAACAAUGGUAAGGAUAAUCUUGGAAACUUUGAUCCAAGAAGUGAUGAAGGUAUACUUUGGGUUACUCACUAAAUAGCAUAUCGUUUAGAGUUUUCAAUAAACUCACUUUAUGUGUAGAGGAAUCAGUUCAUGUUGUAUUCGAUAAAAAUAAUCCCUUGGCCGAGAAAGGAUCUAAUGCAAGUGAUGAAGAGCCAGUCCAAGAGGCUCAGGAUAAGAGAAACACUCAGGAGUCAACAAUCCCCACAGAAGCGAUAGAAUCGACUGAUCAGGAAAGUGGUGACACUUCAGAGCCACUUCCAGAGUCGACUACACAAUCCAUUAGACUAAAUGAGUGGAGAAAUGAAGUUGAAUAUCCUCAGAAGUUCAUUAUUGGAGAUCCAAAUGAAAGAAUGAAGGCUAGACCAGGUCUCAAAAAAAAAGGCAAACAUUGCACUAAUCUCCCAAAUAGAACCAAAGAAAGUAGAAGAAACUCUAAAGACUCAAGCUGGAUAACUGCUAUGGAAGAAGAACUAGAACAGUUCAGUAAAAAUCAAGUAUAAGAGUUGGUACCUCGACCUGAAAAUGCUUACGUAAUAGGCACUAAAUGGGUAUUCAGGAACAAGCUGAAUGAAGAAGGACAAGUUAUUAGAAACAAAGCCAGACUAGUAGCUCAAAGAUACUCACAGCAUGAAGGAGUCGGCUAUAAUGAAACAUUUUCUCAAGUUGCUCAACUAGAAUCAGUAGGAAUCCUACUAGCCUAUGCCUCGUUCAAAGGAUUCAGACUAUUUCAAAUGGAUGUCAAAAGUGCAUUUCUAAAUGGAUUCACUGAAGAAGAGGUUUUUUGUGAAACAACGUCCGGGGUUUGAAGAUUCAAAAUACCCUUAUCAUGUGUACAAGCUUACUAAGGCCCUAUAUGGCUUGAAAUAGGCCCCACAUGCAUGGUAUGAAAGGCUAAGUACAUUUCUUAUAGAACAUGGGUUUACCAGAGGUAAAACUGAUACUAUGUUAUUUAUCAAAAGUUCAUCCGAUGGUAACCUUAUCAUUCAAAUUUAUGUUGAUUACAUUAUUUUUGGUAGUGUAACCUUCUUAUGUGCAAGGAAUUUGGAAAUCUAAUGCAAAGCGAAUUUGAGAUGAGUAUGAUGGGGGAACUCACUUUCUUCCUUGGACUUCAAAUCCAUCAAUCCGAAGAAGGAACUUUUAUUUGCCAAUCUAAAUACACGAAGGAGCGGAUUCAAACAUUUGGCAUGAGCAAUGCAAAGUCUAUUGGCACUCCAAUGAGUCCGGCUACAAACUUAGAUAAAGAUGAAUAGGGCACUCCAGUUGAUCAAACCAAAUACAGAGGAAUGAUUGAGUCUCUCCAAUAUCUGACUGCAAGUUGACCGGAUAUUAUGUUCAGCGUGUGCAAAUGUGCCAGGUUCCAGUCGGCUCCUAAGGAGUCGCACCUAACUGCCGUAAAAAGAAUUAUUUGGUAUCUCAUUGGGACAAUGUCUUAUGUCUUAUGGUAUCCUCAAUCUAACUCUUUUAAAUUGGAAGGUUUUUCAGAUGCAGAUUUAGCAUGUGACAAAGAAGAUAGGAAAAGAACUAGUGGAACAUGUCAACUGCUAGGAAAAUCUGUAAUAUCUUGGAAUAGUAAAAAGCACUCUUCAGUCGCAUUGUCAACUACGAAGCUGAAUAUAUUACUAUUGGACAAUGUUGUGCACAACUGCUUUGGAUGUCACAUCAAUUGGGUGACUAUGAUCUCUUUUUCAAACCUAUACAAAUUUUUUGUGAUAAUUAUAGUGCUAUUUGUCUUUCAAAAAAUCAUGUGCAUCAUUCUAGAGCUAAGCAUAUAGAUAUUAAACAUCUUUUUAUUAGAGACCAUGUUCUUAAGGGUGAUAUAGAGUUAAGUUUUGUUGGAACGUCUGGUCAACUAGCUGAUAUUUUCAACAAACCUUUAUUGGAGGAAAGAUUUUGUGCUCUAAGGAAAUUGCUUGGUAUUAUCUGCCGCACUAAUACCUCUUAGGGUCAAAGUUGCACUUUUCAAAAACCUUGUUAUUAUUGUUUUUCUACUCAGAUUAUUUAAUACGCCGUCAUUAUUUCCCUCUCUUUCCUUUCUAAUAUCCCAUCAGUUGCAGAGAAGAUGGAAAGCCAAGCCGUCAUUAUUUCACACUCUUUCCUCUCUAAUAUCCCAUCAGUUGCAGAGAAGAUGGAAAGCCAAUCAAUGUGACUGUCCAUCUGACACCUUUUCCUUUUCCACUCAACCGUCAAAUCCAUUCUCUUUACAUAGUUCCAGUCAUCCCUUUCCUUCUCACCCUUCUCACAAAACCAUUCCUCUCUUUGUUCUGAAACCCUCUUUUCCUCCAUGGCCAAGACUUCAAAAAAUCCCUCCACCUCCACAAGAAAGAGCACUCGUUCAAACCAAACCCUCCUCCACUCCGCCUGAGCAAGUAGACCUAGGGUCAGACAAGUAUGAAGAGUGUGCCUCCUCUCAAGGUGCAUAUUCUCAGCAAUCUCUGCUUCUUGGUGAAAAAGCCACUGGUAAACGACCUAGCCCCUCUCUCCACUCCCAAGAAAACCAAGUUCGAUUUUUUUGCCUCUCUCGAAUCUGACCUAAAUUUUUGGGACACCCCAAAUAGGGAUUUCUUUAUGUCGCUCAAGGACAAGCCUAUUGCCCAUGUUCGUGUGGUGGAUCUCGAUGCUAUGGACUUCUGCAACUGCAAGGUAAAAGAUCUUUUUGUUUAUCAGGGUGGGAAAAAUUUCUCUGUUUCUCCACCUAAAGUGUAUAAACCUCUUGUCUGUAUGUUCUAUGCAAAUCUUCGAUCUAGCAAAUCUGACUGGCUCGAAACCCUUGUUCUUGGCAAACGCAUUUUACAUGACUGUAACCUAUUUGAUUCCCUUUUUCUCUGCCACUGCUCUUGCUUUCCAACAAUUUUUAAGAAUGUGUGGCCUGAAGAUUUUGAAAUCUCCUUUGAUCAGGCUAAACUAAUUAUUGCAGAAAACCCCUCUGAAAAUCUUCCCCAUCAGUUAGGACCAAGUGAUGUUAGCUUUGAAACUCGAGUCCUUGCUCACAUUGUAACAACUACUCUUCUUCUUAGAAUUGGCUCAUUCUCAACUCUCUCCCAAAGGGACACCUUCUUCGUCUACUGUCUUAUUUCCAAACUCAAAAUCAAGCUGUCCUCCUGGGUCAUCAAUUUUAUGAUUGAAAGCGCAAAAGAUCCUACCAGCCUUCCUUAUGGGAUGGCCAUUACCCACAUUCUGGAAGCUCACCAAAUUUCUCUUUCAUACUACCAUUUUAUUCUUGUGUCAAAAUGCUACAUACCAGCUUACCUUAUGGGAUGGUCAUCACCCACAUUCUGGAAGUUCACCAAAUUUCGCUUUCAGACUAUCAUUUUAUUCCUGUGUCAAAAUGCUACAAACCCAGGGCCUUCACUAGCAUGGGAUAUGUGUCUAUUAAAGGGGUCUGGGUCAAAAGGGAGAAUGUGAUGCCAAAACCACUCCUGAGGAAAUCAAGCCAACUCCUGUCUCUCUAUCCGCGCCUAUUCCCUCAGAUCUUGGUGAUAAGCUGCGCUCUGUUGAGUCUCAACUCUCUAACAUCAAGUCGAUUGUGGAUGCUAUUUAUGCUAUCUCCAAGGAAACAGGGUCUGAUGCCUCCAAAAUCAGGGUGGUUGUGCAAAGGGUAAGAGAGAAUGCGGUCAAAGCAUUCAAAGAGGUGCAUGAUAGACUGGAUGGAGUGCAUGUUGCUGCCAACACCAGCUUUGAUCAGAUGAAGUAGGCUAUUUGCAAUACUCUGACUUAUUUUCUGCGUCGUGGUUGAUUGUGGCUUUAAGACAACUUUUUUGUUUGUUUGUUUCUAACACAUUGGUUAUGUUUGGGCUCUGCCCGUGGAUAAUCUUGUGGAUAUUAGUUUUGCCACUGCUCCCUCUUUUGAUGAUGUCAAAAAGGGGGAGAAAUAUAUAAUAUGCUAUCUUGUGCAGGAUGAAUAAGUGUGCAGGGCGUACAUGCUUUGUAUGUUUUUGUAUAUCUGCACAUGUCAAGUCGACUAAGUAUUAUCUAACUAUGCUAUGGCAUAGUACAAACUGAAAAGGCAAGUCGACUACUGAAAAGGCAAGUCGACCAGAGCCUGCACCUAUUUUCCAGACAACUGUUCGAUAUUUCUUUAUAGGUACCAGUCGACUGCACCUAAUGAGGGGGAAAACACAUCGACUGCACGUACACAGGGGGAGAUCAUGUCCAGUUGACUACACAUUGAGGGCGAGCAAUCCUGCCACUCAACUGAAUAUAAAUAGGGAAUUCAACUAUUCUUUAUCCCAGUAUAUUAAUUUUGCCAUAACCAAAAAGGGGGAGAUUGUUAGAAUAGAUUUUAAUAAUGCAAUUAAUAUACAUGUGCAGAUAUUCAAGGAGAAAAGCGGAAUCACUGAAGCAUGGAUAAAAGGCAAGCGAAGAAAGGAUAAAAGACAAGCUGCCAUCUCACUAAAUCAAGGAAGCAAGAUUGAAGCAUUAAACAAGGAAAGAAAUAUUCAUUAAGAGAAGCCGUUGGCACAUAAGGAGAAGAUCGGCAUCACAUCGUCAAAUCAGGAAGUCUCCCAUGAUUCUUGGGAAAUCAUAUACAUCUCCAGACCUCAUGCAAAUCACUGAAGAUUCCCUAAUGGCUUAUUUGAAUGAACUACAAGAUUGGAAGGCCGCCAUCUCCGUCAAUCACAUCUCCAGAAAAAAGGGAAAGAGAUCGUCGGAAUGAGCUACAAGACUGGAAGGCCGCCAUCUCCGUCAAUUGCAUCUCCAGAAAAAAGGAAAGAGAUCGUCAUCAAAGCAACGAUCAGUGCUUUAUUCUUGGAAGGAAUCAACACCCUCCAAGGAUCAAAUCCCCUAGGUUGUCAAGUCUCUGCCAUAGUCUUGCUGUAUAAAUAUCACCGUGCCUUGUACCAUCCUUAUACUUUAAACACACCAAAACAACCCUCUUCAUUUUACUGCAAACAAGCAUAGUAGUCUAGUUAAAUUCACUGUGUAACAAGUCAAAAAUAGAAAGAGAGUUAGUAACUGGUGAGGCAUUGUAUCAACGAGUGAAGAACAACUGAGCGACAAAUAGCACUUCUGUACUCGAGAAGAAAAUUAUUGUUCUGAAGAGAA